UGGGGAAUAUUGCGCAAUGGACGAAAGUCUGACGCAGCGACGCCGCGUGUGGGAUGAAGCUCUUCGGGGUGUAAACCACUGUUGCCCGGGAAGAAUCUCCUGUUUCGACAGGAUUGACGGUACCGGGUGAGGAAGCACCGGCUAACUCUGUGCCAGCAGCCGCGGUAAUACAGAGGGUGCGAGCGUUGUCCGGAAUCACUGGGCGUAAAGGGCGCGUAGGUGGCGGGAUAAGUGUGUGGUGAAAGCUCGGGGCUCAACCCCGAGUCUGCCAUGCAAACUGUCUUGCUCGAGCAUAGUAGAGGCACGUGGAAUUCCGGGUGUAGCGGUGGAAUGCGUAGAGAUCCGGAAGAACACCGGUGGCGAAGGCGGCGUGCUGGGCUAUUGCUGACACUGAUGCGCGACAGCGUGGGGAGCAAACAGG
Molecule: ribosomal RNA, 421 nt
Filed under: uncultured bacterium
Lineage: Bacteria
Description: bacterial SSU rRNA
Rfam family: Bacterial small subunit ribosomal RNA
Source: RNAcentral